This 253-nucleotide ribosomal RNA is filed under the name uncultured bacterium. RNAcentral describes it as "partial 16S ribosomal RNA". It matches the Rfam family "Bacterial small subunit ribosomal RNA", at positions 524 to 776 of the family's 1533-position model. The record is from RNAcentral.
GACAGAGGGUGCAAACGUUGUUCGGAAUUACUGGGCGUAAAGCGCGUGUAGGCGGCCAUGCAAGUCGGAUGUGAAAGCCCUCGGCUCAACCGGGGAAGUGCACUCGAAACUGCAAGGCUAGAGUCUCGGAGAGGAUCGUGGAAUUCUCGGUGUAGAGGUGAAAUUCGUAGAUAUCGGGAGGAACACCAGUGGCGUAGGCGGCGAUCUGGGAAGAUACUGACGCUGAGGUGCGAAAGCGUGGGGAGCAAACAGG